Molecule: unclassified non-coding RNA, 229 nt
Filed under: plant metagenome
Description: partial contains small subunit ribosomal RNA, internal transcribed spacer 1, and 5.8S ribosomal RNA
Source: RNAcentral
UAUCCGUAGGUGAACCUGCGGAGGGAUCAUUACAGAGUUCAUGCCCUAACGGGUAGAUCUCCCACCCUAUGUUAUCAUCACUUUGUUGCUUUGGCGGGCCGUCAGGCCUCGGCUUGGCUACCGGCUCUCGCUGGUAAGCGCCCGCCAGAGAACCCCAAACCCUGAAUAUCAGUGUCGUCUGAGUACUAUAUAAUAGUUAAAACUUUCAACAACGGAUCUCUUGGUUCUG